This 492-nucleotide ribosomal RNA is filed under the name uncultured bacterium. Its description in RNAcentral is "partial 16S ribosomal RNA". It matches the Rfam family "Bacterial small subunit ribosomal RNA", at positions 28 to 507 of the family's 1533-position model. The record is from RNAcentral.
GACGAACGCUGGCGGCGUGCUUAACACAUGCAAGUCGAACGGAAAGGCCCCCACUUUUUUGGUGGGGGUGCUCGAGUGGCGAACGGGUGAGUAACACGUGGGUGAUCUGCCCUGUACUUCGGGAUAAGCUUGGGAAACUGGGUCUAAUACCGGAUAGGACCAUGGUUUAGUGUCUCAUGGUGGAAAAAUUAUUGUUUUGGUGCAGGAUGAGCUCGCGGCCUAUCAGCUUGUUGGUGGGGUAAUGGCCUACCAAGGCGUCGACGGGUAGCCGGCCUGAGAGGGUGGACGGCCACAUUGGGACUGAGAUACGGCCCAGACUCCUACGGGAGGCAGCAGUGGGGAAUAUUGCACAAUGGGCGCAAGCCUGAUGCAGCGACGCCGCGUGGGGGAUGUCGGCCUUCGGGUUGUAAACUCCUUUCGUUAGGGACGAAGCCGCACCUUUUUUGGGUGUGGUGACGGUACCUUUGUUAAGAAGCACCGGCUAACUACGUG